UGCCCUAUGGGUUGUAAACUGCUUUUAUAUAGGAAGAAACACUCCCACGUGUGGGGGCUUGACGGUACUAUAUGAAUAAGGAUCGGCUAACUCCGUGCCAGCAGCCGCGGAAUACGGAGGAUCCAAGCGUUAUCCGGAAUCAUUGGGUUUAAAGGGUCCGCAGGCGGCCUGUUAGUCAGAGGUGAAAUCCUACAGCUCACUGUAGAACUGCCUUUGAACUGAUAGGCUUGAGUUAUUGUGAAGUGGUUAGAAUGUGUGGUGUAGCGGUGAAAUGCUUAGAUAUCACACAGAAUACCCAUUGCGAAGGCAGAUCACUAACACUAUACUGACGCUCAUGGACGAAAGCGUGGGGAGCGAACAGGAUUAGAUACCCUGGUAGU
RNAcentral lists this ribosomal RNA (380 nucleotides) under uncultured bacterium. RNAcentral describes it as "bacterial SSU rRNA". It matches the Rfam family "Bacterial small subunit ribosomal RNA", at positions 412 to 794 of the family's 1533-position model. The record is from RNAcentral.